AUAAAUUGAGAGUUUGAUCCUGGCUCAGGACGAACGCUGGCGGCGUGCCUAAUACAUGCAAGUCGAACGAGAAUUUCUUACACCGAGUGCUUGCACUCACCGUAAGAAAUUCGAGUGGCGGACGGGUGAGUAACACGUGGGUAACCUGCCCAAAAGAAGGGGAUAACAUUUGGAAACAAAUGCUAAUACCGUAUAACCAUGAUGACCGCAUGGUCAUUAUGUAAAAGGUGGUUUUGCUAUCGCUUUUGGAUGGACCCGCGGCGUAUUAACUAGUUGGUAGGGUAACGGCCUACCAAGGUGAUGAUACGUAGCCGAGUUGAGAGACUGAUCGGCCACAAUGGGACUGA
RNAcentral lists this ribosomal RNA (347 nucleotides) under Ligilactobacillus aviarius. Its description in RNAcentral is "bacterial SSU rRNA". It matches the Rfam family "Bacterial small subunit ribosomal RNA", at positions 1 to 322 of the family's 1533-position model. Lineage: Bacteria; Bacillati; Bacillota; Bacilli; Lactobacillales; Lactobacillaceae. The record is from RNAcentral.